UACGGGAGGCAGCAGUGGGGAAUAUUGCACAAUGGGCGCAAGCCUGAUGCAGCCAUGCCGCGUGUAUGAAGAAGGCCUUCGGGUUGUAAAGUACUUUCAGCGGGGAGGAAGGGAGUAAAGUUAAUACCUUUGCUCAUUGACGUUACCCGCAGAAGAAGCACCGGCUAACUCCGUGCCAGCAGCCGCGGUAAUACGGAGGGUGCAAGCGUUAAUCGGAAUUACUGGGCGUAAAGCGCACGCAGGCGGUUUGUUAAGUCAGAUGUGAAAUCCCCGGGCUCAACCUGGGAACUGCAUCUGAUACUGGCAAGCUUGAGUCUCGUAGAGGGGGUAGAAUUCCAGGUGUAGCGGUGAAAUGCGUAGAGAUCUGGAGGAAUACCGGUGGCGAAGGCGGGCCCCUGGGACGAGACUGACGCUCAGGUGCGAAAGCGUGGGGAGCAAACAGGAUUAGGAUAACC
RNAcentral lists this ribosomal RNA (455 nucleotides) under uncultured bacterium. Its description in RNAcentral is "bacterial SSU rRNA". It matches the Rfam family "Bacterial small subunit ribosomal RNA", at positions 340 to 787 of the family's 1533-position model. The record is from RNAcentral.